CUGAUGCAGCGACGCCGCGUGGAGGAAGAAGGUUUUCGGAUUGUAAACUCCUGUCGUUAGGGACGAAUCAUGACGGUACCUAACAAGAAAGCACCGGCUAACUACGUG
RNAcentral lists this ribosomal RNA (108 nucleotides) under uncultured Clostridium sp. Its description in RNAcentral is "partial 16S ribosomal RNA". It matches the Rfam family "Bacterial small subunit ribosomal RNA", at positions 383 to 507 of the family's 1533-position model. Lineage: Bacteria; Bacillati; Bacillota; Clostridia; Eubacteriales; Clostridiaceae. The record is from RNAcentral.